GUCCCAAAAUAUAUGUUAAGUGGAAAAGGAUGUGGCGUUGCCCAGACAACUAGGAUGUUGGCUUAGAAGCAGCCAUCAUUUAAAGAGUGCGUAAUAGCUCACUAGUCGAGUGACACUGCGCCGAAAAUGUACCGGGGCUAAACAUAUUACCGAAGCUGUGGAUUGUCCUUUGGACAAUGGUAGGAGAGCGUUCUAAGGGCGUUGAAGCAUGAUCGUAAGGACAUGUGGAGCGCUUAGAAGUGAGAAUGCCGGUGUGAGUAGCGAAAGACGGGUGAGAAUCCCGUCCACCGAUUGACUAAGGUUUCCAGAGGAAGGCUCGUCCGCUCUGGGUUAGUCGGGUCCUAAGCUGAGGCCGACAGGCGUAGGCGAUGGAUAACAGGUUGAUAUUCCUGUACCACCUAUAAUCGUUUUAAUCGAUGGGGGGACGCAGUAGGAUAGGCGAAGCGUGCGAUUGGAUUGCACGUCUAAGCAGUAAGGCUGAGUAUUAGGCAAAUCCGGUACUCAUUAAGGCUGAGCUGUGAUGGGGAGAAGACAUUGUGUCUUCGAGUCGUUGAUUUCACACUGCCGAGAAAAGCCUCUAGAUAGAAAAUAGGUGCCCGUACCGCAAACCGACACAGGUAGUCAAGAUGAGAAUUCUAAGGUGAGCGAGCGAACUCUCGUUAAGGAACUCGGCAAAAUGACCCCGUAACUUCGGGAGAAGGGGUGCUCUUUAGGGUUAACGCCCAGAAGAGCCGCAGUGAAUAGGCCCAAGCGACUGUUUAUCAAAAACACAGGUCUCUGCUAAACCGUAAGGUGAUGUAUAGGGGCUGACGCCUGCCCGGUGCUGGAAGGUUAA
Molecule: ribosomal RNA, 835 nt
Filed under: Acinetobacter baumannii
Lineage: Bacteria; Pseudomonadati; Pseudomonadota; Gammaproteobacteria; Moraxellales; Moraxellaceae
Description: bacterial LSU rRNA
Rfam family: Bacterial large subunit ribosomal RNA
Source: RNAcentral